Non-coding RNA from Callithrix jacchus (white-tufted-ear marmoset), 1361 nucleotides. The record is from RefSeq and is a predicted model, not a curated record. Lineage: Eukaryota; Metazoa; Chordata; Mammalia; Primates; Cebidae.
AUGGAGAAGACUAUUGAACAUCCCCCAAUCCCCCAAUUGUCUUGCUGGAUCACUGUCAUUUCUCUCAGGUCAUCUUUAACAGUGUGGAGAAGUUCUGCAUCCCAGGAGGGGAUGUCACAUGUCAUUACACCUUCACCCAGCAUUUCAUCCCUCGUGGAAAGGACUGCAUUGGCAUCUUUAGAGUGGGAUGGAAGACAGCCCGUGAGCAUUACACCUUCAUGUGGGUUACUCUGCCCAUCGACCUAAACAACGAAUCAGCCAAACAGCAGGAAGUCCAAUGCAAAGCUUACUACCUGCCCGAGGAUGAUGAGUAUUGCCAGUUCUGCCAUGUGAUCAGGAUGGCGUGGUCUGGGGAGCAAGUAUUCCUUUCCAAUUCUGUCCAGAAAAUGAGGAAGACAUCCUGGUUGUUACCACUCAGGGAGAGGUGGAAGAGAUUCAACAGCAUAAUCCUUUGAAAGGAGCCUUGCAAAGAAAACCAGGAGCUGAAGGACAGCUGUGUCAGCCUCCAGAAACAGGCUGAGCUCCAAAAGAAGCCGGAGGAGCUAGAAACCCUACGGAGCAUCUGUAGAAGUGGGAACUGAAAGUGAAAAAGCAGGAUGACUAUUGGGAGACAGAGCUGCUUCAACUGAAAGAACAAAACCAGAAGAUGUCCUCAGAAAACAAGAUGGGGCCGGGCGCGAAGAUGGAAAUCAGAGUGGAUCAGCUUCAGGCCCAGCUGCCAACUCAAGAGAAAGAAAUGGAGAAGCUUGUUCAGGGAGAUCAAGAUAAGACAGAGCAGUUAGAGCAUCUGAAAAAAGAAAAUGACCACCUUUCUCAGUUUAACUGAGCAGAGGAAGGACCAGAAGAAGCUCGAGCAGACAGUGGAAGAGAGGAAGCAGAAUGAAAGUACUGCAAUGAAGAAGCAACAGGAAUUAAUGGAUGAAAACUUUGACCUGUCAAGAAGACUGACUGAGAACAAAAUGACAUGUAAUGUUCUGCAGAGAGAGAAACGGAGACUGGAAGGAGAAAAUGAUCCUCAGUUACAUGGGUCUGGAUUUUAACUCUUUGCCGUAUCAACUACCUACUUCAGAUGAAGGAGGCGCAGGACAAAAUCCAGGACUUGCCUAUGGAAACCCAUAUUCUGGUACCCAAGAAAGCUCUUCCCCAAGCCCACGCUCCAUCAGGAAAUGCCCCAUCUGCAAAGCAGAUGAUAUUUGUGAUCACACCUGGAGCCAGAGCAGAUGCAGGCCCUUUGUCUGAAUCGUCCGAUUUGUGGCAAGACCCUCCCAGCAAGAGAGAGGCAGAUCUUUGAAGACCACGUGUUCUGCCACUCUCCAUGGGCAUCCAGCCUCCUGGAUAUAUACAGAGAUUUUAUAGAGUAG